This 468-nucleotide ribosomal RNA is filed under the name uncultured bacterium. RNAcentral's name for it is "partial 16S ribosomal RNA". It matches the Rfam family "Bacterial small subunit ribosomal RNA", at positions 28 to 507 of the family's 1533-position model. The record is from RNAcentral.
GACGAACGCUGGCGGCGUGCUUAACACAUGCAAGUCGAACGGAAAGGCCCUGCUUUUGUGGGGUGCUCGAGUGGCGAACGGGUGAGUAACACGUGAGUAACCUGCCCUUGACUUUGGGAUAACUUCAGGAAACUGGGGCUAAUACCGGAUAGGAGCUCCUGCUGCAUGGUGGGGGUUGGAAAGUUUCGGCGGUUGGGGAUGGACUCGCGGCUUAUCAGCUUGUUGGUGGGGUAGUGGCUUACCAAGGCUUUGACGGGUAGCCGGCCUGAGAGGGUGACCGGACCCAUUGGGACUGAGAUACGGCCCAGACUCCUACGGGAGGCAGCAGUGGAGAAUAUUGCACAAUGGGCGGAAGCCUGACGCAGCAACGCCGCGUGCGGGAUAACGGCCUUCGGGUUGUAAACCGCUUUCGCCUGUGACGAAGCGUGAGUGACGGUAAUGGGUAAAGAAGCACCGGCUAACUACGUG